Molecule: long non-coding RNA, 640 nt
Filed under: Anser brachyrhynchus (Pink-footed goose)
Lineage: Eukaryota; Metazoa; Chordata; Aves; Anseriformes; Anatidae
Description: lncRNA (ENSABRG00000013240.1)
Source: RNAcentral
UAAAGGAGUUCGGAGCAUAAGUUCUCGGGGAAGAACAGGAGUCUGAGAGCGAACCUUUAGGAACGUUCACAACCACUCGCCCUCAAAGGCAGCAGAAAGCGUUGCUGAGACGGACAGGUUUUUCUGUUUUCUGCCUUUCAAACUGAUUCAAGGCAGCGCAGAUGCGGUCUGUGGGCCAGGUGAAAGCCCGCCCCUGCUGAAGCCUGCCUGCCGAAGCACCUGGUGCUCAGGGACACGCGGCGGGACCCCUCGCAGCUGUACAGCUGUGCCCUGGGACAGGGCGUGUGGAGGGCUCGCCUGGCAAACGCUGCUUCGGCCAGAGUGCUGCAGGCGCAGACACCCGCCUUUCUCUCGUUUGGGAAAUGUGAGGAUGGCAAUGACCUGGAACCUUUAAGGUCUUAGCGGGAUUUUAACACCGCGUGCUUUUGGUGACUGCUUAAGCGAAAUGAAUCCGAGAACAAUCACUGACAACAGCCGCCUCCAUCAGGUUUCAAGCCUCUGCAAGAUCCUGACUGCUAGGGAACAAAGGCUGGUAUGUGGUUCCCUCAAAGUUCUUGUCUGGAGCAACAAGGUCUUCCAGCAUUGGAGGAAGACAUGCAUCUCUCAGUACAUCAGGAUGAAACAAUACCCUAAGGAGUGA